GGACUCUGUCUUCACUGUGGAGGAGAUGGCAACGUGCUCCGUCACGGGGGAAAAAAGGGAUUGUGGGGGAAAAAAAAAAGACAGCGGCUUGAUGUGGACAAAGUGAAGUCAGUGAUUGAUCAUGUCAAAAGUGUUCACAAGGGUGUUGGGGACACUGAAAUCAAGGCCUGCAUGGCACAAAAAUUAAGACAUCCAGAGACGAGCAGAGAAGGAAAAAUGGGGACCAUCUGGAGGAGACCAAGAAGAUGAGGGAUGCGACGAUGCAGAAGUUACAGAAAAGUUCAAAGUUUGUUUAAAGGAAUAGUUUGACAUUUUGGGAGUUAGAUAAGACUGACACCAUUUUCAUGUCUGUUAAUUAACCCUCCUGUUGUCCAAGGAUGGAAGGAGGAAAAGGUGAAGAAGGGAAUGAAGGAAAGGAGGAAUACUAUAUAUCAUGUAUUUAUGUUUAAGAUAAAAUAACA
Molecule: long non-coding RNA, 461 nt
Organism: Neoarius graeffei (lesser salmon catfish)
Lineage: Eukaryota; Metazoa; Chordata; Actinopteri; Siluriformes; Ariidae
Exons: 3
Source: RefSeq, a predicted model, not a curated record